Molecule: ribosomal RNA, 464 nt
Filed under: uncultured bacterium
Lineage: Bacteria
Description: bacterial SSU rRNA
Rfam family: Bacterial small subunit ribosomal RNA
Source: RNAcentral
UUCCAGACUCCUACGGGAGGCAGCAGUGAGGAAUAUUGGUCAAUGGGCGGGAGCCUGAACCAGCCAUGCCGCGUGAAGGCGAGUGCCCUACGGGCGUUAAACUUCUUUUGUGCGGGAGCAAUAAGGGCCACGUGUGGCCCGAUGAGAGUACCGCACGAAUAAGCAUCGGCUAACUCCGUGCCAGCAGCCGCGGUAAUACGGAGGAUGCGAGCGUUAUCCGGAUUUAUUGGGUUUAAAGGGUGCGCAGGCGGAUUUUUAAGUCAGCGGUCAAAUCGUGGGGCUCAACCCCAUCCAGCCGUUGAAACUGGGGAUCUAGAGUGUGCGAGAGGUAUGCGGAAUGCGUGGUGUAGCGGUGAAAUGCAUAGAUAUCACGCAGAACCCCGAUUGCGAAGGCAGCAUACCGGUGCACAACUGACGCUCAGGCACGAAAGCGUGGGUAUCGAACAGGAUUAGAUACCCCCGUA